RNAcentral lists this long non-coding RNA (315 nucleotides) under Bos taurus (domestic cattle). RNAcentral describes it as "long non-coding RNA NONBTAT011844". Lineage: Eukaryota; Metazoa; Chordata; Mammalia; Artiodactyla; Bovidae. The record is from RNAcentral.
CUGUGUUUUGAGAAAGGGGAAGUCCAGCAAUUUACCUUAAGUCACUUGUUUCAAGAAGGAAGCCCCUGCAGUUGGCAGAAGGUGGCGGAAGGAGGAAGGCUGCCCAAAGAGAGAAAGGAGGAUUCUCGGAGCGCCGCCACGUUGUGACUCUAUGCUGAGCAAGUCUCCUCUCUGGCCUUUUCUCAUUUGGGAAACAGGACAGUGAUCUUUAUCUCACCCACCCCUCUGCCUUGUACUAGUAUCAGUUAGUGUGUGUGAAGAACUGGGAAUAUGUAAAUGUUGUGCAACUGGAAGGUCUUGAAAUGGCCCCCGAGU